This 549-nucleotide ribosomal RNA is filed under the name uncultured bacterium. RNAcentral's name for it is "bacterial SSU rRNA". It matches the Rfam family "Archaeal small subunit ribosomal RNA", at positions 327 to 879 of the family's 1478-position model. The record is from RNAcentral.
GGGGAGCAGCAGGCGCGAAAACUUUACAAUGCGGGAAACCGUGAUAAGGGAACUCUGAGUGCCCGUUAAAUCGGGCUGUCCAUCUGCUUAAAACGCAGGUGAAGAAAGGGCCGGGCAAGACCGGUGCCAGCCGCCGCGGUAAUACCGGCGGCUCGAGUGGUGGCCACUAUUACUGGGCUUAAAGCGUUCGUAGCUGGUUUGUUAAGUCUCUGGGGAAAUCUUCCGGCUUAACCGGAAGGCGUCUCAGGGAUACUGGCAGACUAGGGACCGGAAGAGGUGAGGGGUACUCCAGGGGUAGGAGUGAAAUCCUGUAAUCCUUGGGGGGACCACCUGUGGCGAAGGCGCCUCACCAGGACGGCUCCGACAGUGAGGGACGAAAGCUGGGGGAGCAAACCGGAUUAGAUACCCGGGUAGUCCCAGCCGUAAACGAUGUGCGUUAGGUGUAUCGGUGACCACGAGUCACCGAGGUGCCGAAGAGAAAUCGUGAAACGUACCGCCUGGGAAGUACGGUCGCAAGGCUGAAACUCAAAGGAAUUGGCGGGGGAGGAC